CUGCUCACUUUGGCACCACAUAUACUAAAAUUGGAACAAUGUAGAGAUUAGCAUGGCUCCUUCACAAGGAUGACAUGCAAAUUCAUAAAGCAUUCUUUU
Molecule: small nuclear RNA, 99 nt
Filed under: Carlito syrichta (Philippine tarsier)
Lineage: Eukaryota; Metazoa; Chordata; Mammalia; Primates; Tarsiidae
Source: RNAcentral